ACGAACGCUGGCGGCGUGCUUAACACAUGCAAGUCGAACGGAAAGGCCCCUUUGGGGGUACUCGAGUGGCGAACGGGUGAGUAACACGUGAGUAACCUGCCCUUGACUUCGGGAUAACUUCAGGAAACUGGGGCUAAUACCGGAUAGGAAUCCUUGCUGCAUGGUGGGGGUUGGAAAGCUUCGGCGGUUUUGGAUGGACUCACGGCUUAUCAGCUUGUUGGUGGGGUAGUGGCUUACCAAGGCUUUGACGGGUAGCCGGCCUGAGAGGGCGACCGGCCACAUUGGGACUGAGAUACGGCCCAGCCUCCUACGGGGGGCAGCAGUGGGGAAUAUUGCACAAUGGGCGGAAGCCUGAUGCAGCAACGCCGCGGGCGGGAUGACGGCCUUCGGGUUGUAAACCGCUUUCAGCAGGGGCGAAGCUUGUGGUGACGGUACCUGCAGAAGAAGCACCGGCUAACUACGUG
Molecule: ribosomal RNA, 464 nt
Filed under: uncultured bacterium
Lineage: Bacteria
Description: partial 16S ribosomal RNA
Rfam family: Bacterial small subunit ribosomal RNA
Source: RNAcentral